This 979-nucleotide long non-coding RNA is filed under the name Physcomitrium patens. RNAcentral's name for it is "long non-coding RNA (PPAT_LNC010148)". The record is from RNAcentral. Lineage: Eukaryota; Viridiplantae; Streptophyta; Bryopsida; Funariales; Funariaceae.
UUAAGUUUUAGUAAUAACAAGUUAUUUUAAAGAAUGUUUUUAUAUCAUAGAGAUUUGUAGUUGUCAUAAUAUGCUAUUGUAGAUAUUACAGAUAUAUAUAUAUAUAUAUAUAUAUAUAUAUUAUACCUACUUCAUAUUAAAAUAUUCAUAUAAAUAUUAAAAAAUAUGAACUUGUACCUUCAAUGCUGCUAUCUUGUGGUUAAUUGACAAAUCUAAUGGUUGAAUUUGACAACUCUAUCUCAUUGUCCCAAUCUUUACAACUAAUGCAUAUCAUACCUAAUGUUUCCUCUUAUUAUUGAAAUAAGAGUAAUGCCCAACUUGAUACCUUGUGACAACAAACAUCUGAAUUAGCAAAAUCCUUUGUGGAUAAUUUAUUUGCAAUUCCAAUCUAUAGAUAAUUUUGUUCAAACCUUUAAAAGUAACUAUGAUAUAAGUAAUCAACUAUGAAAGAAUAUGCAAUCAAUUGAGAUUAAAGUGUAUCCUUUAAACAUAACCAUUCUAAAAAAUUUACAUCUUUCUUAUACAAAUACAUUCUUACCAGAUUUAGUUGUCCAUUUCACAUAACAAGUGAUUUUUUCAUAUGCAUCAAUCAAUUAAACCAUGCCACAUAAAAAUAAUAUUAUGCCCAUAUUGAUAUUUUUGCACUUUAGCAAUAUUUCCUUUUCUUUUUGCUUAUAUAUACAUACAUAUCCAUAUAUAUAGUCGUUUUAAAAUUUGAUGAUUCUCACCAUUCAAAAUACACUUGAAGAAUAAAGUGUCGUUUGGUGUUUGGGAGAGAGGAUAAGCCUGUGAAACCACAACCAACCACUACAAGAACAGACACACACACAGAGACAUGCACAGAAACAGACCCACAAGCUGCUUCCGUAAGGAGUAAGCAAGCAAGUAAGCAAGCAAGCAGGAUGUGGUGAUGGUGGUGCUGUCCAGCAUCGUCCCUUGCUCACCUCCAUCCUCCCACCCCCAACUCCCAAGCACCAAU